Teladorsagia circumcincta is the source of this 72-nucleotide non-coding RNA. The record is from the annotation of a GenBank genome assembly. NCBI's taxonomy places the organism in Eukaryota, Metazoa, Nematoda, Chromadorea, Rhabditida, Trichostrongylidae.
CGCCUCAGGAGGGAUCGAACCCACAUAUUCCAGUUUUUCGGCCUGCGGUGCUACCGAUUGCACCACCAGGGC